Molecule: transfer RNA, 76 nt
Filed under: Burkholderiales bacterium
Lineage: Bacteria; Pseudomonadati; Pseudomonadota; Betaproteobacteria; Burkholderiales
Also listed under: 3 other names
Description: tRNA-Asn
Rfam family: tRNA
About the family: Transfer RNA (tRNA) molecules are approximately 80 nucleotides in length. Their secondary structure includes four short double-helical elements and three loops (D, anti-codon, and T loops).
Source: RNAcentral
UCCCCGAUAGCUCAGCCGGUAGAGCAACGGACUGUUAAUCCGCGGGUCGCAGGUUCGAGUCCUGCUCGGGGAGCCA